This 468-nucleotide ribosomal RNA is filed under the name uncultured bacterium. Its description in RNAcentral is "partial 16S ribosomal RNA". It matches the Rfam family "Bacterial small subunit ribosomal RNA", at positions 28 to 507 of the family's 1533-position model. The record is from RNAcentral.
GACGAACGCUGGCGGCGUGCUUAACACAUGCAAGUCGAACGGAAAGGCCCUGCUUUUGUGGGGUGCUCGAGUGGCGAACGGGUGAGUAACACGUGAGUAACCUGCCCUUGACUUUGGGAUAACUUCAGGAAACUGGGGCUAAUACCGGAUAGGAGCUCCUGCUGCAUGGUGGGGGUUGGAAAGUUUCGGCGGUUGGGGAUGGGCUCGCGGCUUAUCAGCUUGUUGGUGGGGUAGUGGCUUACCUAGGCUUUGACGGGUAGCCGGCCUGAGAGGGUGACCGGCCACAUUGGGACUGAGAUACGGCCCAGACUCCUACGGGAGGCAGCAGUGGGGAAUAUUGCACAAUGGGCGGAAGCCUGAUGCAGCAACGCCGCGUGCGGGAUGACGGCCUUCGGGUUGUAAACCGCUUUCGCCUGUGACGAAGCGUGAGUGACGGUAAUGGGUAAAGAAGCACCGGCUAACUACGUG